UGUCUAUGAUGAUAAUUGUUAAGGCUUGUUUCUCAAACAUUCGCAGUGGCCGACUAAGAGCUUUCGCCUUCGCCAGGCUUGAGAGUUAAUGCUGCUUUUAUCCUUCCUUGGAUGUCUGAGACA
Non-coding RNA from Solanum tuberosum (potato), 123 nucleotides. NCBI's taxonomy places the organism in Eukaryota, Viridiplantae, Streptophyta, Magnoliopsida, Solanales, Solanaceae. The record is from Rfam.